GACGAACGCUGGCGGCGUGCUUAACACAUGCAAGUCGAACGAAGAGCGAUGGAAGCUUGCUUCUAUCAAUCUUAGUGGCGAACGGGUGAGUAACGCGUAAUCAACCUGCCCUUCAGAGGGGGACAACAGUUGGAAACGACUGCUAAUACCGCAUACGAUCUAAUCUCGGCAUCGAGGAUAGAUGAAAGGUGGCCUCUACAUGUAAGCUAUCACUGAAGGAGGGGAUUGCGUCUGAUUAGCUAGUUGGAGGGGUAACGGCCCACCAAGGCGAUGAUCAGUAGCCGGUCUGAGAGGAUGAACGACCACAUUGGGACUGAGACACGGCCCAGACUCCUACGGGAGGCAGCAGUGGGGAAUCUUCCGCAAUGGACGAAAGGCUGACGGAGCAACGCCGCGGGAGUGAUGACGGCCUUCGGGUUGUAAAGCUCUGUUAAUCGGGACGAAAGGCCUUCUUGCGAAUAGUGAGAAGGAUUGACGGUACCGGAAUAGAAAGCCACGGCUAACUACGUG
Molecule: ribosomal RNA, 510 nt
Filed under: uncultured bacterium
Lineage: Bacteria
Description: partial 16S ribosomal RNA
Rfam family: Bacterial small subunit ribosomal RNA
Source: RNAcentral